Molecule: long non-coding RNA, 449 nt
Filed under: Panax ginseng (ginseng)
Lineage: Eukaryota; Viridiplantae; Streptophyta; Magnoliopsida; Apiales; Araliaceae
Description: long non-coding RNA (PGIN_LNC016800)
Source: RNAcentral
UGCCAAACCAUCAACAGAACAAAUCCAAACCCUCGAACAAGAACCCAAACCUGAUCCGCAGCUCAUAUCAUAACCCCCAAAAUCCAUGCCACACACGAUCAACCCCUACUAAUCUCGCAAGAACACCAUACAAUCUAUAAACCCUCGGACUUGGCAUAUAAUAUAUCGGAAAGGAGAUUUUUGGAGGUACCCAUUGUAGUCAUCGGUAAGACUAAACAGAACCAAUCAGAUUGGAAGAGGCGGGACAAGGAAGAAGGAAUUUUCCUACAUGAUAGUGUCUUUUGUCAGACCUAUCUUCUUCUGCAACCUAUUUCAAGAACAGAAUACACUCAUAUAAAAUUUUCUUAAAUGAAUAAGAAUAUAAAGACUUGUCUCAUUUUCUAUACCAUCUUCUCUAUAUGGCGCAAGAUUUGGAUGAUUUCUGAAAACUCUGGCCUCAAAAAAGGGUC